Molecule: long non-coding RNA, 359 nt
Filed under: Elaeis guineensis (African oil palm)
Lineage: Eukaryota; Viridiplantae; Streptophyta; Magnoliopsida; Arecales; Arecaceae
Description: long non-coding RNA (EGUI_LNC047583)
Source: RNAcentral
AAACCAUCUCGACGAUUAGGUCAACUCUUAACUUAAUCGGGUCAAACCCAACUGAAUCCAAUUCAAUUGGACUUGAUCCAAAAAUAAUUACUCAAUCAAAUUGAGUUAAUUAGCAAUCAAAUCACUAAUAAAAUCUCUCAUAAUUAUUGAGUCCAAAUUCGAUGGACAAUCGGGUAUCAAAGUCCAUCAAUAUGAAACCUUGAUCGAAGAGUUCAAAUUUCAAAUUCAAAAUUUGAAAUUCAAAAUUUUGACCCCGGUACCCAAAAUGUGUGAAACUCAUGAUCAGAGAAUCCUAAUUCUCAAUCAUAGAGUCUCAAACACAUAAGACUCAUAAUCAGCCAUCAGAUCAGAAAGGAACC